CAGUAGCCACGGUAAAACGAAGGGUGCAAGCGUUAAUCGGAAUUACUGGGCGUAAAGCGUGCGUAGGCGGUGAGUUAAGUCUGCUGUGAAAUCCCCGGGCUCAACCUGGGAAUGGCAGUGGAUACUGGCUCGCUAGAGUGUGUCAGAGGAUGGUGGAAUUCCCGGUGUAGCGGUGAAAUGCGUAGAGAUCGGGAGGAACAUCAGUGGCGAAGGCGGCCAUCUGGGACAACACUGACGCUGAGGCACGAAAGCGUGGGGAGCAAACAGGAUUAGAUACCCCCGUAGUCCCUGUCUCUUAUAC
RNAcentral lists this ribosomal RNA (301 nucleotides) under uncultured bacterium. RNAcentral's name for it is "partial 16S ribosomal RNA". It matches the Rfam family "Bacterial small subunit ribosomal RNA", at positions 509 to 807 of the family's 1533-position model. The record is from RNAcentral.